AUCAACUCCUCGACUCUUCCUCUCCCAUUUCUGUACCUCUUCGGGAACAGUCUGAUGCAUGCCAAAUUGCCGUAGGCAACGAUCUGGAAGGUGUCUUUCUGCCUUGUCAUAACAUAUCAACAUGGUCUUUGAUCUCCCCAGAAUGAGGCUGCGCAAUAUAUGUUCUGGUAUGACGGUAUGACUAAUGUUUGAGUAAGGACACCAGUCAACAUCAGAUGGCUUCAUAGAG
Molecule: unclassified non-coding RNA, 229 nt
Filed under: Hevea brasiliensis (rubber tree)
Lineage: Eukaryota; Viridiplantae; Streptophyta; Magnoliopsida; Malpighiales; Euphorbiaceae
Source: RNAcentral